This 258-nucleotide ribosomal RNA is filed under the name Limosilactobacillus reuteri. RNAcentral's name for it is "Lactobacillus reuteri partial 23S ribosomal RNA". It matches the Rfam family "Bacterial large subunit ribosomal RNA", at positions 566 to 823 of the family's 2925-position model. The record is from RNAcentral. Lineage: Bacteria; Bacillati; Bacillota; Bacilli; Lactobacillales; Lactobacillaceae.
ACAAGCUGUCGGAGCCCGUUAAUGGGUGACGGCGUGCCUCUUGCAGAAUGAACCGGCGAGUUACGAUUGCAUGCAAGGUUAAGGUGGAAAAACCGGAGCCGUAGCGAAAGCGAGUCUUAAAUGGGCGUAAGAAGUAUGUAGUUGUAGACCCGAAACCAGGUGACCUACCCAUGUCCAGGUUGAAGGUGCGGUAAAGCGCACUGGAGGACCGAACCCGUGUCAGUUGAAAAUGGCUGGGAUGAGGUGUGGGUAGCGGUG